RNAcentral lists this long non-coding RNA (2297 nucleotides) under Sus scrofa (pig). RNAcentral describes it as "lncRNA (ENSSSCG00005045694.1)". The record is from RNAcentral. Lineage: Eukaryota; Metazoa; Chordata; Mammalia; Artiodactyla; Suidae.
UUUUUUUUUUUUUUUUUUUUUUAAAGGCACCAAGGAUUUCUUUAUAAAGGCCACACGAUAUAUGGGGCAGCUGAAUUUCAAGCCAGAUUUUCCUGGUCCCUGACGCCUGAGUCCGUUUCCUAGCCCACUGACAAACCAGCCCAGCUUUUCCAGGUCCUGGCCAUUUGGUGCUGGUUGUUGGUGGACAGGGUGGAUCUGAGCUGCCCGAUGUCUAUAAGUGCUUGAUGUGUUACACAGAUUGACUUUAAUACCGGGCUUUUCUUUCUGGCACGUGGAAAUUCUCUAAAAUGGGUGCGACCUUGGCCCUCACGCCCGUCUUUCUUACGGAGGUCAUCCACUCUGUUCACAAAAGGUAUGACUGGGGCGGGGGGUUCGUGGAGCAUGUAACUGUGGCCGAGAAGAUCAAGGCGCUGUCUGCCAGCUUCACCAAGUCAUCCUGCCCUUUGAUUUGGGGGCUGAGGCUGGCGUUUGUGGCUCCUGCUGUUUGAAACUGUACUUCGGCCCCCGCUCUGUCUGCCUCUGCUCCGAGGAACCCCCCUCUUCACGGCCGUGCGCUGCUCUGGUCAAGUGGCCACCCCACUGGACUUCAAAGCACUGGGCAGGGCUUGCGGAUUCUCUGGAUUCAGGACAUCAUCACAAAAGUUCCCUUAGCAACAAGUCGGCAGGAAUCCCUGACAUCUGUUAGCCACCACGUGAAUCCCUGCGGUCCAUUACCAGCUAGAAACAUGAAUGAGAUGCUGACCUGCUUGUACUCUUCUGAGCCUGAAAAGGCCCAGCUUUUAUCUGCCAGCCGGGUCGACCUCAUCUACAAGCACAGAAGCUGGUCCCCGUGUGGCUGGUCAAAGACAAUGUUUGGUAAACCAGGAAGGCUUGGAUACAUGUGUUAGGAUUUUUGCCGGGCCACUCCAAGGGAUGGCAUUCUCCCAGCAUGUCCCCUUGUCACUCCUAGCAGCAAGGUGGCACAUGACAAGCUUUCUAACAGAAUGUCAGCAUUGGUCUCCCUGGAACUUAAUUGUGAAAUGAGUAUAUCCCAUUCUCCCUGCAAUGGCGAGGCUUCUGGGUGAUGCUUGUUGCCAUGGAGGGAAGUAGCAGCGGUGGCUGGCAGGUCAGUCUGGCUUGUCCUUUGGAGGACCAGAGCAUGGGGUGACAUUGUGGAGGUCCAGUUACAACAGGUGUGUGAACUGUGUGAGGCUUGUGUGGAUUCCUAAGAGGAUUCACUCGCCUCCUCCUCUCACAUUUAGUGUCUCUCCCGUCUACCAUCCACUAAAGACUGGUUCUAUUAACGUCCCAGUUCACUAGCUGAUGUCCAGACCCAGUCCCCAGGGACUCACACAUCAUGUAUCCGAACUAAACGUCAUCUCUCUCCUCCCUUCACUGCCUUCUAUGCCCACCCUUCCAACCUGGAGAAUGUCACCAGCACCUCUCCAUGGCGUCACCUGGCAAUACCCCCCCCCACCACCCCGUUACCUUUCUUCUCCUGUUCAUUCAGUUGACAAGUCUGGUCUGUUCUCUCUUAGAAAUAUUUCUCAAAAGCCUUCUCCUUAUUCACUCGCGUUGGCAAACUUCUUCUGUAAAGGGCCAGGAAACAUUUUAGGCUUCGUGGGCCAAGAGGCAAAACUGAGUUAGAGCUGCAUCACUGUGAUGUGCAGUGCGCCAGAGGCAGUGAGAAGCCGUGAGAGCGCCCAUAUGGUCUCUGUCACAGCGACUCAGCUCUGCCCGUGGAGCACAAAACGGUUAGAGAGGAUCCCCAAACCGUCGGGCAUGGUUGCGUUCCAAUCCAACUUUAUUUAGGGACACUGAGAUUUGAAUCUGUGCCAUGCGGUAUUCUUCUUUUCCUUUGUUUUCAACCAUUUAAAGAUGGAUAGGCCAUUCUUAGCUCAUGGGCUGUGUGUAGUUUGCCAGUCUCUGUUCAAAAGUUGAUUAUUUGUUCAGCAAUCCCUAAUCUAGUGCCUGCGAUGGGCUGGGAGCACUCUUGUAGGUGCUGGAGGUGAAGCAGUGAAAGGCAUAGAAAAGCAUACCUUUAAAAAAAAAAAAAAAUUUAACUACAGCUGGAGUUUCCGUUGUGGCUCAGUGGUUAACGAAUCUGACUAGGAACCAUGAGGUUGCGGGUUCGAUCCCUGGCCUCGCUCAGUGGGUUAAGGAUCCGGCGUUGCCAUGACCUGUGGUAUAGGUUGCAGAUGAGGCUCGGAUCCCACGUUGCUGUGGCUGUGGUGUAGGCUGGCAGCUACAGCUCUGGUUAAACCCCUAGCCUAAGAACCUCCAUAUGCCGCAGGAGUGGCGUUAGAAAAGGCAAAAAG